CGGAAACAGCCCAAACCAAGGGGCUUGCCCCUUGGGGUUGUAGGACACUCUACACGGAGUUACAAAGAAACGAAGUAGACGAAGCGAUCUGUGAAAAUGGGCUCG
Molecule: ribosomal RNA, 105 nt
Filed under: Anaerobacillus isosaccharinicus
Lineage: Bacteria; Bacillati; Bacillota; Bacilli; Caryophanales; Bacillaceae
Description: partial 23S ribosomal RNA
Source: RNAcentral